This 598-nucleotide ribosomal RNA is filed under the name uncultured bacterium. RNAcentral describes it as "bacterial SSU rRNA". It matches the Rfam family "Bacterial small subunit ribosomal RNA", at positions 98 to 688 of the family's 1533-position model. The record is from RNAcentral.
GCGAACGGGUGAGUAAUGCUUCGGAAUCUACCCUAUAGUGGGGAAUAACCAGCCGAAAGGUUGGCUAAUACCGCAUACGUCCUACGGGAGAAAGCAGGGGAUCGUAAGACCUUGCGCUGAUGGAUGAGCCGAAGUCGGUUUAGCUAGUUGGUGAGGUAACGGCUCACCAAGGCGACGAUCCGUAGCUGGUCUGAGAGGACGACCAGCCACACUGGGACUGAGACCAGCGGCCCAGACUCCUACGGGAGGCAGCAGUAGGGAAUAUUGGACAAUGGGGGAAACCCUGAUCCAGCGACGCCGCGUGUGUGAAGAAGGCCUGCGGGUUGUAAAGCACUUUUAGUGGGGAUGAAAUGUGCAGGGUUAAUACCUCUGCAUUUUGACCUAACCUACAGAAAAAGCACCGGCUAACUCUGUGCCAGCAGCCGCGGUAAUACAGAGGGUGCAAGCGUUAAUCGGAAUUACUGGGCGUAAAGCGUGCGCAGAUGGUUCGAUAAGUCGGGUGUGAAAGCCCCGGGCUCAACCUGGGAAUUGCAUUCGAGACUGCCGAGCUAGGGUGCGGAAAGAGGGCAAGCGGAAUUUCCGGUGUAGCGGUGAAUUG